Oncorhynchus tshawytscha (Chinook salmon) is the source of this 612-nucleotide long non-coding RNA. RefSeq lists it as uncharacterized. The transcript is spliced from 3 exons. The record is from RefSeq and is a predicted model, not a curated record. Lineage: Eukaryota; Metazoa; Chordata; Actinopteri; Salmoniformes; Salmonidae.
GGGACGUCAAUGCUAUUGUCAAGCAGGUAACACAACUCAGUCCUGGGGGACGUCAAUGCUAUUGUCAAGCAGGUAACACAACUCAGUCCUGGGGGACGUCAAUGCUAUUGUCAAGCAGGUAACACAACUCAGUCCUGGGGGAUAUCAAUGCUAUUGUCAAGCAGGUAACACAACUCAGUCCUGGGGGAUAUCAAUGCUAUUGUCAAGCAGGUAACACAACUCAGUCCUGGGGGAUAUCAAUGCUAUUGUCAAGCAGGUAACACAUCACAGGCAUCUAAUAUGUGCCCCAUAUCUGUAUGUUACUGUAUUGCUGGGUCCUGGUGGUCUGUACAGUGGUCUGUAUUUACAGUGCCUUUAACAAGUCUCAAUACACUUUACAAUAAAAAAAAAUGUUUAAAACAAAUGUUUUUUUUUAAAAGAAACAAGCAUUGAUUAUCCUGUCUGUAACAACUAUUUGAUUUUCAGCAAAGUAUACAUGGAAUUGAAUUGGUACAGAUGUAGGAUCUUAUUUGAACCAGUUUGCUACAGCAGGAAAAUAAUCCUGCAGCAACAGGAAUGUGAAUUAUUAUGUGGAUUAUAAUAAUUUGACAUUUUCUGUAGGGGUUGAUACAU